Molecule: ribosomal RNA, 482 nt
Filed under: uncultured bacterium
Lineage: Bacteria
Description: partial 16S ribosomal RNA
Rfam family: Bacterial small subunit ribosomal RNA
Source: RNAcentral
AUUGAACGCUGGCGGCAUGCCUUACACAUGCAAGUCGAACGGCCGCACGGGCUUCGGCCUGGUGGCGCGUGGCGAACGGGCGAGUAAUUUAUCGGAACGUACCCAGCAGUGGGGGCUAACGUAGCGACGGUUACGCUAAUACCGUAUACGAUCUUAGGAUGAACGGCGGGGACCGCAAGGCCUUGUGCUCCUGGAGCGGCCGAUAUCAGAUUAGCUAGUUGGUGAGGUAAAGGCUCACCAAGGCGACGAUCAGUAGCUGGUCUGAGAGGACGACCAGCCACACGGAAACAGAGACGCGCUCCAGACUCAUGCGAGAGGCAGCAGUGGAGAAUUUUGGACAAGGGGCACGAGCGUGAUCCAGCAAUGCCGCGUGAGUGGAGAAGGCCUGCGGGGUGUAAAGCUCUUUUGUCAGAGAAGAAACGGUAGAGGCUAAUAUCCUUUGCUAAUGGCGAUACCUGAAGAAUGAGCACCGGCUAACUGCG